UUACCUAGAGUUUGUAGACUUCGGUCUGCUACCUCUUACCCAUGUCUUUUGAGUACCUUCGUUUCCUCGGCGGGUCCGCCCGCCGAUUGGACAACAUUCAAACCCUUUGCAGUUGCAAUCAGCGUCUGAAAAAACAUAAUAGUUACAACUUUCAACAACGGAUCUCUUGGUUCUGGCAUCGAUGAAGAACGCAGCGAAAUGCGAUAAGUAGUGUGAAUUGCAGAAUUCAGUGAAUCAUCGAAUCUUUGAACGCACAUUGCGCCCCUUGGUAUUCCAUGGGGCAUGCCUGUUCGAGCGUCAUUUGUACCUUCAAGCUCUGCUUGGUGUUGGGUGUUUGUCUCGCCUCUGCGUGUAGACUCGCCUUAAAACAAUUGGCAGCCGGCGUAUUGAUUUCGGAGCGCAGUACAUCUCGCGCUUUGCACUCAUAACGACGACGUCCAAAAGUACAUUUUUACACUCUUGACCUCGGAUCAGGUAGGGAUACCCGCUGAACUUAAGCAUA
RNAcentral lists this ribosomal RNA (502 nucleotides) under uncultured fungus. Its description in RNAcentral is "eukaryotic LSU rRNA". The stretch from base 147 to 300 matches the Rfam family "5.8S ribosomal RNA". The record is from RNAcentral. Lineage: Eukaryota; Fungi.